GUUCCUGCUAAAACUCAGAAGUUCAUCUGAGAAUUCAUGUCUAAUUUAGAUGGACUAUAAGAUUUCCAUUUUGUUAUUUCAAGAGGGCUUCUGGCUGAGAUGCUCACAGACACCUCUGGAAUGCCAGUGAUCCUGUUUAUUGAGUACAAGACAACACCCUGUCAACACAGUAAUGUCAAAAUAUUGCAGAUCCUUUUGUCUUGCACGGUGUAACAGAUUGCACAGAACAGCAGUUAAUGCAAUUCAUUUAGGAUAGACCUUUAGUCCUAAUCCUGGUUCCUAGGACAGUUCAAAUAUUUUGAAUUUAAAUAAUAAAUACAACUACUUUAUAAGUUGAACAGCUAAGUGCACUGAACUGUAUACUCAUACUUCUUUUAUUCACUCAGUGAAUCCUGGAUUUGCUUCAGUGCAGCAUUCUGUGCAACAGAUUUGAGAACUUUCUGGAGAUGCCUUUCUUCAGGCUUCAGGCAAGAUGACGACAUAGACAACAUAAAACUAAAAAAUGGGAAGAAGUAUAUAUGAAGAGAAGAAAAAAAAAGUUCCCAAGGAUCAGAAAUGUACAGGCCUUGGAGUCGUAUUUGGCAGUUUCCUCAGAAUCACUGAUGAGAGAAUAAUCCAUUCUUCCAGCGAGGCAGAUGAAUUCCAGAAGUUUGAAAGACUAUGUCUGGAGAGGCAGAUGAGACGUUGAACUGCUCCAGGAUUUUCCACUUUGGAUUUCACUAGAAUGAAGUUUCUCUUCUGGGUGACCACUGGGAACAACGAUGGUGUUACAGAAUCACAGAAUUGCUGAAUCACCAAGAUUGGAAAAGACCUACAAGAUCAUCCACCAAUCACCAAUAGUUCUCACUAAACCAUAUCCCUCAACACAACGCCCAAACAUUCCUUGAAUACCUCCCUGGGCAGCCCAUUCCAGUGCCUGACCACCCUUUCAGAGAAGUAGUAUUUCCUAAUGUCCAGUCUGAAUCUCCCCUGGUGCAGCUUGAAGCCAUUCCCUCUAGUUCUAUCACCAGUUACAUGGGAGAAGAGGCCGACCCCCAGCUCACUACAACCUCCCUUCAGGUAGUUAUAGAGAGCAAUGAGGUCUCCCUGAGCCUCCGCUUCUCCAGAGAACAACCCCAGCUCCCUCAGCCGCUCCUCAUCAGGCCUGUGCUCCAGACCCCUCACCAGCUUUGUCGCCCUUCUUAGAUACCCGCUCCAGGGCCUCAGUGUCUUUCUUGCUGUGAGGCGCCCAAAACUGGACACAGUUUGAGGUGCGGCCUCACCAGUGCUGAGUACAGGGGGACAAUCACUUCCCUGUUUCUGCUGGCCACACUGUUCCUGAUGCAAGCCAGGAUGCCAUUCGCCUUCUUGGCCACCUGGGCACACUGCUAGCUCAUGUUACUGGGAGUUGUCGCCUGGAUUCAGUUUCUAUAGAAGUGUUUUCUCACGUAGAGGAAGAUCUCAAGACUUUUAGAAUGAAUUGGAAAGACAGGCUGAAAAUUGCUGAGUAUCUGACCAUUCCGAAGAAAGUUGAAAGAUUCAUCAGAAAAGUUUCAUUAUUUGCUUAAUGCAAAAUCUGUAUUCAAAUGCUCUUUAUAAAAUAUAUUCCCAAAUAUAGGAGCAAGAAUAACACAUUUUCUUCUGUUCUCAAGACUGUCAGACACAUCAAUAGAUAACCUGACUUAGAUUGUUGUCCAUACCUGAAGGUAUUGCUACAGUAUGUUUGAAAACAUUAAAUAAUAGUGAGAAAGCGUAUUCCUCUUCAAAGUGGCUCUGACAUCUUCUAUUACAGGUAAAGAAAAAUAGCAAUGACUGCAAUCAUUGUUUUUUUGCAAUGAUUGUCUUAAUAUUUACCACUGUCAUUGGAACAGAGGAAUUGAAUCAAUCAAGACAGGCUUUACUAAAUGUAUGACAGUCGGCAUCUAGCCUUACAUAUCAGCGAGGUCUGCCUAAUGCAAAUACAAUGAUAUUAAAAUAACAUUUUUAUGGUGAUGAUGGAUUUUGCUGUUGUUAAUUGCUCAUUUAAUUAUGCAACAUCUGAGACACCAGAAGAUUCAAGCGUAUACGACAUUCAUUCUUGACUACACUGCAAACAUUGUGGCAGGAAGGAUGUCUAAACUGAGGCAAACAGGAGACUUUCCAGAUUCCUGAGCCUGAAUGCAUGUAUAAGUUUGUAUCCUUGUAGUCUAUCAGGACGAGACUGUAGUACGUGCCAUUUUUUUCUUUUGUGUGGAGACCUGGGGCUGCAGAUUGGUAGCAAGGGUGACUGUAUCAGGGUGGCAUUAUGUUAGAUCCUAAUCUGGACAAUGUAUAUGCCAUGACAAUAAAGUAACCUGGAAUGGGCA
Molecule: long non-coding RNA, 2324 nt
Organism: Phasianus colchicus (ring-necked pheasant)
Lineage: Eukaryota; Metazoa; Chordata; Aves; Galliformes; Phasianidae
Source: Ensembl